This 484-nucleotide ribosomal RNA is filed under the name uncultured bacterium. RNAcentral describes it as "partial 16S ribosomal RNA". It matches the Rfam family "Bacterial small subunit ribosomal RNA", at positions 30 to 507 of the family's 1533-position model. The record is from RNAcentral.
AUUGAACGCUAGCGGGAUGCUUUACACAUGCAAGUCGAACGGCAGCGCGGACUUCGGUCUGGCGGCGAGUGGCGAACGGGUGAGUAAUGUAUCGGAACGUGCCCAGUAGCGGGGGAUAACUACGCGAAAGCGUAGCUAAUACCGCAUACGCCCUACGGGGGAAAGCAGGGGAUCGUAAGACCUUGCACUAUUGGAGCGGCCGAUAUCGGAUUAGCUAGUUGGUGAGGUAACGGCUCACCAAGGCGACGAUCCGUAGCUGGUUUGAGAGGACGACCAGCCACACUGGGACUGAGACACGGCCCAGACUCCUACGGGAGGCAGCAGUGGGGAAUUUUGGACAAUGGGGGCAACCCUGAUUCAGCCAUCCCGCGUGUGCGAUGAAGGCCUUCGGGUUGUAAAGCACUUUUGGCAGGAAAGAAACGUCGCGGGCUAAUACCCCGUGGAACUGACGGUACCUGCAGAAUAAGCACCGGCUAACUACGUG